This 432-nucleotide ribosomal RNA is filed under the name Helcococcus sp. canine oral taxon 069. Its description in RNAcentral is "bacterial SSU rRNA". It matches the Rfam family "Bacterial small subunit ribosomal RNA", at positions 9 to 451 of the family's 1533-position model. Lineage: Bacteria; Bacillati; Bacillota; Tissierellia; Tissierellales; Peptoniphilaceae. The record is from RNAcentral.
GAGUUUGAUUCUGGCUCAGGACAAACGCUGGCGGCGUGCAUAACACAUGCAAGUCGAACGAAAUCUACAUGAUUUAGUGGCGAACGGGUGAGUAACACGUGAGAAACCUGCCUUACACAGAGGGAUAGCCGUUGGAAACGACGAUUAAUACCUCAUGACACCGUGACAUCGCAUGAUGAUGCGGUCAAAGAUUUAUCGGUGUAAGAUGGUCUCGCGCCUGAUUAGCUGGUUGGUGGGGUAACGGCCUACCAAGGCGACGAUCAGUAGCCGAUCUGAGAGGGUGGACGGCCACAUUGGGACUGAGACACGGCCCAAACUCCUACGGGAGGCAGCAGUGGGGAAUUUUGCACAAUGGGGGAAACCCUGAUGCAACGACGCCGCGUGAACGAAGAAGGCUUUCGGGUUGUAAAGUUCUGUCCUUGGUGAAGAUAA